This 456-nucleotide ribosomal RNA is filed under the name uncultured bacterium. Its description in RNAcentral is "bacterial SSU rRNA". It matches the Rfam family "Bacterial small subunit ribosomal RNA", at positions 340 to 786 of the family's 1533-position model. The record is from RNAcentral.
UACGGGAGGCAGCAGGGGGAAUAUUGCCACAAUGGGCGCAAGCCUGAUGCGAGCCAUGCCGCGUGUAUGAAGAAGGCCUUCGGGUUGUAAAGUACUUUCAGUCGUGAGGAAGGUGUUAAGGUUAAUAACCUUAGCAAUUGACGUUAGCGACAGAAGAAGCACCGGCUAACUCCGUGCCAGCAGCCGCGGUAAUACGGAGGGUGCGAGCGUUAAUCGGAAUUACUGGGCGUAAAGGGCACGCAGGCGGUUAAUUAAGUUGGAUGUGAAAUCCCCGGGCUUAACCUGGGAAUGGCAUUCAAGACUGGUUAGCUAGAGUCUUGUAGAGGGGGUAGAAUUCCAUGUGUAGCGGUGAAAUGCGUAGAGAUGUGGAGGAAUACCGGUGGCGAAGGCGGCCCCGUCGGACAAAGACUGACGCUCAUGUGCGAAAGCGUGGGGAGCAAACAGGGAUUAGAUACC